This 310-nucleotide ribosomal RNA is filed under the name uncultured bacterium. RNAcentral's name for it is "bacterial SSU rRNA". It matches the Rfam family "Bacterial small subunit ribosomal RNA", at positions 30 to 334 of the family's 1533-position model. The record is from RNAcentral.
AUUGAACGUUGGCGGCAGGCCUAACACAUGCAAGUCGAGCGGAAACGAAGAGGUGCUUGCACCUCUGGCGUCGAGCGGCGGACGGGUGAGUAAUGCUUGGGAAUAUGCCUUAUGGUGGGGGACAACAGUUGGAAACGACUGCUAAUACCGCAUGAUGUCUACGGACCAAAGUGGGGGACCUUCGGGCCUCACGCCAUAAGAUUAGCCCAAGUGGGAUUAGCUAGUUGGUGAGGUAAUGGCUCACCAAGGCGACGAUCCCUAGCUGGUUUGAGAGGAUGAUCAGCCACACUGGGACUGAGACACGGCCCAG